GGGUUGUGAGGUUAAGCGACUAAGCGUACACGGUGGAUGCCCUGGCAGUCAGAGGCGAUGAAGGACGUGCUAAUCUGCGAUAAGCGUCGGUAAGGUGAUAUGAACCGUUAUAACCGGCGAUUUCCGAAUGGGGAAACCCAGUGUGAUUCGUCACACUAUCAUUAACUGAAUCCAUAGGUUAAUGAGGCGAACCGGGGGAACUGAAACAUCUAAGUACCCCGAGGAAAAGAAAUCAACCGAGAUUCCCCCAGUAGCGGCGAGCGAACGGGGAGGAGCCCAGAGCCUGAAUCAGUGUGUGUGUUAGUGGAAGCGUCUGGAAAGGCGCGCGAUACAGGGUGACAGCCCCGUACACAAAAAUGCACAUACUGUGAGCUCGAUGAGUAGGGCGGGACACGUGGUAUCCUGUCUGAAUAUGGGGGGACCAUCCUCCAAGGCUAAAUACUCCUGACUGACCGAUAGUGAACCAGUACCGUGAGGGAAAGGCGAAAAGAACCCCGGCGAGGGGAGUGAAAAAGAACCUGAAACCGUGUACGUACAAGCAGUGGGAGCCUCUUUAUGGGGUGACUGCGUACCUUUUGUAUAAUGGGUCAGCGACUUAUAUUCUGUAGCAAGGUUAACCGAAUAGGGGAGCCGAAGGGAAACCGAGUCUUAACUGGGCGUUAAGUUGCAGGGUAUAGACCCGAAACCCGGUGAUCUAGCCAUGGGCAGGUUGAAGGUUGGGUAACACUAACUGGAGGACCGAACCGACUAAUGUUGAAAAAUUAGCGGAUGACUUGUGGCUGGGGGUGAAAGGCCAAUCAAACCGGGAGAUAGCUGGUUCUCCCCGAAAGCUAUUUAGGUAGCGCCUCGUGAAUUCAUCUCCGGGGGUAGAGCACUGUUUCGGCAAGGGGGUCAUCCCGACUUACCAACCCGAUGCAAACUGCGAAUACCGGAGAAUGUUAUCACGGGAGACACACGGCGGGUGCUAACGUCCGUCGUGAAGAGGGAAACAACCCAGACCGCCAGCUAAGGUCCCAAAGUCAUGGUUAAGUGGGAAACGAUGUGGGAAGGCCCAGACAGCCAGGAUGUUGGCUUAGAAGCAGCCAUCAUUUAAAGAAAGCGUAAUAGCUCACUGGUCGAGUCGGCCUGCGCGGAAGAUGUAACGGGGCUAAACCAUGCACCGAAGCUGCGGCAGCGACACUAUGUGUUGUUGGGUAGGGGAGCGUUCUGUAAGCCUGCGAAGGUGUACUGUGAGGUAUGCUGGAGGUAUCAGAAGUGCGAAUGCUGACAUAAGUAACGAUAAAGCGGGUGAAAAGCCCGCUCGCCGGAAGACCAAGGGUUCCUGUCCAACGUUAAUCGGGGCAGGGUGAGUCGACCCCUAAGGCGAGGCCGAAAGGCGUAGUCGAUGGGAAACAGGUUAAUAUUCCUGUACUUGGUGUUACUGCGAAGGGGGGACGGAGAAGGCUAUGUUGGCCGGGCGACGGUUGUCCCGGUUUAAGCGUGUAGGCUGGUUUUCCAGGCAAAUCCGGAAAAUCAAGGCUGAGGCGUGAUGACGAGGCACUACGGUGCUGAAGCAACAAAUGCCCUGCUUCCAGGAAAAGCCUCUAAGCAUCAGGUAACAUCAAAUCGUACCCCAAACCGACACAGGUGGUCAGGUAGAGAAUACCAAGGCGCUUGAGAGAACUCGGGUGAAGGAACUAGGCAAAAUGGUGCCGUAACUUCGGGAGAAGGCACGCUGAUAUGUAGGUGAAGUCCCUCGCGGAUGGAGCUGAAAUCAGUCGAAGAUACCAGCUGGCUGCAACUGUUUAUUAAAAACACAGCACUGUGCAAACACGAAAGUGGACGUAUACGGUGUGACGCCUGCCCGGUGCCGGAAGGUUAAUUGAUGGGGUUAGCGCAAGCGAAGCUCUUGAUCGAAGCCCCGGUAAACGGCGGCCGUAACUAUAACGGUCCUAAGGUAGCGAAAUUCCUUGUCGGGUAAGUUCCGACCUGCACGAAUGGCGUAAUGAUGGCCAGGCUGUCUCCACCCGAGACUCAGUGAAAUUGAACUCGCUGUGAAGAUGCAGUGUACCCGCGGCAAGACGGAAAGACCCCGUGAACCUUUACUAUAGCUUGACACUGAACAUUGAGCCUUGAUGUGUAGGAUAGGUGGGAGGCUUUGAAGUGUGGACGCCAGUCUGCAUGGAGCCGACCUUGAAAUACCACCCUUUAAUGUUUGAUGUUCUAACGUUGGCCCGUAAUCCGGGUUGCGGACAGUGUCUGGUGGGUAGUUUGACUGGGGCGGUCUCCUCCUAAAGAGUAACGGAGGAGCACGAAGGUUGGCUAAUCCUGGUCGGACAUCAGGAGGUUAGUGCAAUGGCAUAAGCCAGCUUGACUGCGAGCGUGACGGCGCGAGCAGGUGCGAAAGCAGGUCAUAGUGAUCCGGUGGUUCUGAAUGGAAGGGCCAUCGCUCAACGGAUAAAAGGUACUCCGGGGAUAACAGGCUGAUACCGCCCAAGAGUUCAUAUCGACGGCGGUGUUUGGCACCUCGAUGUCGGCUCAUCACAUCCUGGGGCUGAAGUAGGUCCCAAGGGUAUGGCUGUUCGCCAUUUAAAGUGGUACGCGAGCUGGGUUUAGAACGUCGUGAGACAGUUCGGUCCCUAUCUGCCGUGGGCGCUGGAGAACUGAGGGGGGCUGCUCCUAGUACGAGAGGACCGGAGUGGACGCAUCACUGGUGUUCGGGUUGUCAUGCCAAUGGCACUGCCCGGUAGCUAAAUGCGGAAGAGAUAAGUGCUGAAAGCAUCUAAGCACGAAACUUGCCCCGAGAUGAGUUCUCCCUGACUCC
RNAcentral lists this ribosomal RNA (2803 nucleotides) under Escherichia coli. Its description in RNAcentral is "partial 23S ribosomal RNA". It matches the Rfam family "Bacterial large subunit ribosomal RNA". The record is from RNAcentral. Lineage: Bacteria; Pseudomonadati; Pseudomonadota; Gammaproteobacteria; Enterobacterales; Enterobacteriaceae.